UUAGCUUGCUAAUCUGCUGACGAGUGGCGGACGGGUGAGUAAUGCUUGGGAAUCUGGCUUAUGGAGGGGGAUAACUACGGGAAACUGUAGCUAAUACCGCGUAAAAUCUUCGGAUUAAAGGGUGGGACUUUCGAGCCACCUGCCAUAAGAUGAGCCCAAGUGGGAUUAGGUAGUUGGUUAGGUAAAGGCUGACCAAGCCGACGAUCUCUAGCUGGUCUGAGAGGAUGACCAGCCACACUGGAACUGAGACACGGUCCAGACUCCUACGGGAGGCAGCAGUGGGGAAUAUUGCACAAUGGGGGGAACCCUGAUGCAGCCAUGCCGCGUGAAUGAAGAAGGCCUUCGGGUUGUAAAGUUCUUUCGGUGACAAGGAAGGUUGAUAGGUUAAUAGCCUAUCAAAUUGACGUUAAUCACAGAAGAAGCACCGGCUAACUCCGUGCCAGCAGCCGCGGUAUACGGGGGGUGCGAGCGUUAAUCGGAAUAACUGGGCGUAAAGGGCACGCAGGCGGUGACUUAAGUGAGAUGUGAAAGCCCCGAGCUUAACUUGGGAAUUGCAUUUCAUACUGGGUCGCUAGAGUACUUUAGGGAGGGGUAGAAUUCCACGUGUAGCGGUGAAAUGCGUAGAGAUGUGGAGGAAUACCGAAGGCGAAGGCAGCCCCUUGGGAAUGUACUGACGCUCAUGUGCGAAAGCGUGGGGAGCAAACAGGAUUAG
This 712-nucleotide ribosomal RNA is filed under the name uncultured Pasteurellales bacterium. RNAcentral describes it as "bacterial SSU rRNA". It matches the Rfam family "Bacterial small subunit ribosomal RNA", at positions 75 to 781 of the family's 1533-position model. Lineage: Bacteria; Pseudomonadati; Pseudomonadota; Gammaproteobacteria; Pasteurellales. The record is from RNAcentral.